RNAcentral lists this ribosomal RNA (681 nucleotides) under Triticum aestivum (bread wheat). Its description in RNAcentral is "partial small subunit ribosomal RNA". Lineage: Eukaryota; Viridiplantae; Streptophyta; Magnoliopsida; Poales; Poaceae. The record is from RNAcentral.
AUGAAGCGGUUCGACGUGCAACCAAUGUUGAAAGAAAACAAAAAGAAAGGAGAAGUUCAAUUUCUAAAGAUGACGUGGUUUAACAAUUACCGAUGCAAGUCGAAGAAGGAUUGGCCGGUGCUGCCGGCUGGCGUCAAGUUCGAUCCCACGGAUCAGGAGCUGAUCGAGCACCUUGAGGCCAAAGUGAGUGCUGACAACGCGAGAUUUCAGUCUCUCAUUGAUUUGUUCAUACCAAUCAUCGACAGCGAGCACAACAUAUGCUACACCCAACCUGAGAAACUUCCAGGUAUCACACUGAGUGGCCUAAGGAAGCAUUUCUUCCAGCGCAAUUUCAGGGUGUUCAAAAGGGGCACGUGGACGCGUCGCAAGAUACAGUCGGAGUGCGACAUGCAUGCGAUGUGGCACAAGACCGGCAAUACCUUGCCGGUGAUGGUCAACGACCGGCAGACGGGCAGCAAAAAAGGUUCUGGUGCUGCACACCAACAAGAACUUCGACCAGCAGAGGACCAACUGGAUGAUGCACUAUUGUACUACCUUGUCGUCUGCAAGUUGGUAUUGUUGUUAACGAUCUUUUGGUCGAGCAAGUUUCAACUGGGCUGUAGACUGCCCAGGGUUGGUUUUGUUUUUAACAGGCCCAGCCCAGGACGACAACGGGGCACAAAGAUCCAGCAGUUUUACUAG